CGCGCAAAUUACCCAAUCCUGACACAGGGAGGUAGUGACAAGAAAUAACAAUACAGGGCUAAUGUCUUGUAAUUGGAAUGAUGGUGACCCAAACCCUCACCAGAGUAGCAAUUGGAGGGCAAGUCUGGUGCCAGCAGCCGCGGUAAUUCCAGCUCCAAUAGCGUAUAUUAAACUUGUUGCAGUUAAAAAGCUCGUAGUUGAAUUUUAGCGUGUUCGAGUUUGCCAUUCGUUUGGCUUUUUCGAGUUCGCUUUUGGGUUUUCCCUUUUUACUUUGAGAAAAUUAGAGUGUUUCAAGCAGACUUUUGUCUUGAAUACUUCAGCAUGGAAUAAUAGAGUAGGACUUUGGUUCUAUUUUGUUGGUUAUUGAACCUUAGUAAUGGUUAAUAGGAACGGUUGGGGGCAC
RNAcentral lists this ribosomal RNA (403 nucleotides) under Babesia vogeli. RNAcentral describes it as "SSU rRNA". It matches the Rfam family "Eukaryotic small subunit ribosomal RNA", at positions 433 to 891 of the family's 1831-position model. The record is from RNAcentral. Lineage: Eukaryota; Apicomplexa; Aconoidasida; Piroplasmida; Babesiidae.